UCUUAACAAAAAAGCUCGAUC
Molecule: non-coding RNA, 21 nt
Filed under: Caenorhabditis elegans
Lineage: Eukaryota; Metazoa; Nematoda; Chromadorea; Rhabditida; Rhabditidae
Source: RNAcentral